CGGGGCGUAGCGCAGCCAGGAAGCGCACCUGAAUGGGGUUCAGGUGGUCGGAGGUUCAAAUCCUCUCGCCCCGACCA
Molecule: transfer RNA, 77 nt
Filed under: Oceanithermus profundus
Lineage: Bacteria; Thermotogati; Deinococcota; Deinococci; Thermales; Thermaceae
Also listed under: 6 other names
Description: tRNA-Pro
Rfam family: tRNA
About the family: Transfer RNA (tRNA) molecules are approximately 80 nucleotides in length.
Source: RNAcentral